RNAcentral lists this non-coding RNA (27 nucleotides) under Rattus norvegicus (Norway rat). The record is from RNAcentral. Lineage: Eukaryota; Metazoa; Chordata; Mammalia; Rodentia; Muridae.
UGGGAUUGGUGAGAAGAACUUGCAAGG